Molecule: long non-coding RNA, 1114 nt
Filed under: Strigops habroptila (Kakapo)
Lineage: Eukaryota; Metazoa; Chordata; Aves; Psittaciformes; Psittacidae
Description: lncRNA (ENSSHBG00005011350.1)
Source: RNAcentral
UGGGGCUGAAAUGCUGAGUGCCUGACUUUGCCAGUUGGACUAACGAGAGUUGUGGGAACGUGUUAGUCCCUCUUAGGGCAGCUUGGUAAAGCAAAUCAAGAUGGAAAAGCCUCUGGGGCCCGAUUGUGUGUUGCCUGUGCACACUCAGUGAGCAUCUGGAGUUUGCUGGGAGUGUGAAAUUCAUCUUUGCAGGGUGGAGUGGCUCUCUGUUGAGCAAGCAGUGUGUUGCUGUGUCUUUUGUAGUAAAUAGCGUGGGUCAAGGUGAACCUAUGUCCUCUAUUAAACUUGGGUUUUUAUUUCCUUCCCAGGACGCCCACUCGCCUCGUUUCAGAGUAGCCUGACUGAUUUAAUACCGGAUGCUCAUACUGUAGUCUAUGUUAAACGAUCGGCUUCCUCAGGGAAAAGACUUUAGAGACAAUGAGAUCACAUAAAAUGAUCCUGGGAGGAACAAACCACUGGGGAGAAUUUCAUCUGCUGAAAGGAAUGGCUUACUUUCUUUUGCUUUGGGAUGGGAUCGCCCUGCCAGCUCAGAUAGAUGGAGUCAGAUGCUGCUGCCUCCUUGAUCAAAGCUCAGAUUUCUCAUUGCAGCCCUGCUAGCUUCCAUAUUUGUUCCCACACUGCUGUUCCGCAGUCCCAGUUGUAGUCAAAUGUCGCUAGACUGUGCAAUCCUUCACCUUGCUGCUUUGGUAACCAGCUUGUCAGCCAAGAAAUAGAAAUAGCUGCACAGGCUCCAGCUUGAGUAUGCUUAGUUAGUUCAGUCACCUCUGAAAACCUAUGGAUAACGCACCUUGGAGAAGAUAAUGGCUCCUUCUGCAACUGCCGAGCAGGAUUUCAUACCAGUGCAAAUGUAAAGGACUGGAUUUGAGCGAUGGGGCCAAGUUUGCAGGGUUGAGAUCCAUAACCAGAGGUUGAUGAUGGGGGUGGUCUUCCAAGGAGGGUCCUGAUUCCAUUCCUUCCAGGGCAGGGGAGGAAGGUGGUGUAUAAGUCAGCUUUGGAACCAAAUGUCUGCAUGUUUGGAUGCAGGAUUUAGGUUUGACCCUAUGUGAUUUGUAAUGCCAGAUCCCAUGUAUCAACCUUGAAGGUUUUUCUCUGUUACUUUCCAUGAAAGAACAAG